This is a long non-coding RNA of Bradysia coprophila, 1096 nucleotides long. Lineage: Eukaryota; Metazoa; Arthropoda; Insecta; Diptera; Sciaridae. The record is from RefSeq and is a predicted model, not a curated record.
AAUUGUCCAACGAAAUGACAUUGCUGCUGUGCUGAACGAGGCCACAACAAUCGAUAGCUAUUUCAAAAAAUUCCGAAUGAAUCACCGGGACAACGCGUACCGCAAUUGGUGUUUGGCUAAAGGACUAUCCAACUGGUUCCAAGUUCUGAGCAUCGGUGCUUCGUUUGUGAUUGGUUGCCUGAUGUACACCGGAAAUGUUGCACUCGGUGACGUCGUAGCGUUCAUCAUAACAACAUAUUGCCAAAUCAUGCCCACCACACUGUCCAGCAUGUAUUUCUUCUAUUUGGCGCAGGCCUACAAAUUCUACCGGGCGAUAAAUCGGAAAAUUCUUUCAUUGAAGUGCGGGAAGUUCGAUCAUCACCGGGUCGAUCAGUUAAAUUACAUCUCCAGCGUUGUCACCGCAUAUACGGAAAAUGUUUGCCGAUUGUUUUCGGUUCAGAUUCUGGCUUCUCUGUUUUACGCGUCAGCCUUGAUAUUGGUGGAGCUCUUCUUCAUCUACUACAACAUUCAAAAGUUUCGGAUGACCAAUUACUUGUUUGAAUUGUAUGGAGAUCUGGUGAAGAACGUUGGCUUGAUUUCAUGUUUCGUCGUUGAAAUAUAUUUCAUUUGUACGAUCACGGACUUGGUAAUGUCUGAGGUACGGAUUGUCUACCGAUAUCAGGUAAAAUCCAAAUUUUAUGAUACAAUUUUGUGACUCGGUAGGCGGAGCGUUGCGCUUCUACGAUUGCCAUUCGGAAUUCUUGGAGAAUGGAGAAAAGGCUUUGCAAGAGCGUAACAUCAAUCACUUACUUUAAAGAGACAUUUCAGUAGUUUCGGAACGUUUCAGGUGGAGAUGCUAUACCUGAGCUCAUUGAAUAAUUUGCCGAACAUCUAUUCUUGUGGCCUGUUUCGAAUAGACAGGAUGUACAUUCUGCCUGUGUUAACGUCCAUCCUGUCACAGGCCAUCAUAAUAAUUCAAUUUAAAGUAAAUGAAAGCAACGGAAAACCGUUGUCAGGAUACAGAAGUGGUUGGAAUAUGGAAGGUUUAAUGGAAAAUAAAAUUUUGAAUUUAGUCACAACGGAAUUAACGUUGCUACGGAAGGACAGAUUAUAAUUC